Molecule: ribosomal RNA, 255 nt
Filed under: uncultured bacterium
Lineage: Bacteria
Description: partial 16S ribosomal RNA
Rfam family: Bacterial small subunit ribosomal RNA
Source: RNAcentral
UACGGGGGGAGCAAGCGUUGUUCGGAUUUACUGGGCGUAAAGGGCGCGUAGGCGGCCACCGCAAGUCGACUGUGAAAUCUCCGGGCUUAACCCGGAAAGGUCAGCCGAUACUGCGGGGCUAGAGUGCAGAAGGGGCAACUGGAAUUCUCGGUGUAGCGGUGAAAUGCGUAGAUAUCGAGAGGAACACCUGCGGCGAAGGCGGGUUGCUGGGCUGACACUGACGCUGACAGCGCGAAAGCUAGGGGAGCGAACGGG